This 860-nucleotide ribosomal RNA is filed under the name uncultured archaeon. RNAcentral describes it as "bacterial SSU rRNA". It matches the Rfam family "Archaeal small subunit ribosomal RNA", at positions 1 to 865 of the family's 1478-position model. The record is from RNAcentral.
UCCGGUUGAUCCUGCCGGAGGUUACUGCUAUCGGUGUUCGCCUAAGCCAUGCGAGUCAAAUGUAGCAAUACAUGGCAUACUGCUCAGUAACACGUGGAUAACCUGCCCUUGGGACCGGCAUAACCCCGGGAAACUGGGGAUAAUUCCGGAUACCGCAUAUAUGCUGGAAUGCUUUAUGCGUGAAAUGGAUUCGUCUGCCCAAGGAUGGGUCUGCGGCCUAUCAGGUAGUAGUGGGUGUAAUGUACCUACUAGCCUACAACGGGUACGGGUUGUGAGAGCAAGAGCCCGGAGAUGGAUUCUGAGACAUGAAUCCAGGCCCUACGGGGCGCAGCAGGCGCGAAAACUUUACAAUGCGGGAAACCGUGAUAAGGGGACACCGAGUGCCAGCAUCAUAUGCUGGCUGUCCAGGUGUGUAAAAUACACCUGUUAGCAAGGGCCGGGCAAGACCGGUGCCAGCCGCCGCGGUAACACCGGCGGCCCGAGUGGUGAUCGUGAUUAUUGGGUCUAAAGGGUCCGUAGCCGGUUUGGUCAGUCCUCCGGGAAAUCUGACAGCUCAACUGUUAGGCUUUCGGGGGAUACUGCCAGACUUGGAACCGGGAGAGGUAAGAGGUACUACAGGGGUAGGAGUGAAAUCUUGUAAUCCCUGUGGGACCACCUGUGGCGAAGGCGUCUUACCAGAACGGGUUCGACGGUGAGGGACGAAAGCUGGGGGCACGAACCGGAUUAGAUACCCGGGUGGUCCCAGCCGUAAACGAUGCUCGCUAGGUGUCAGGCAUGGCGCGACCGUGUCUGGUGCCGCAGGGAAGCCGUGAGGCGAGCCACCUGGGAAGUACGGCCGCAAGGCUGAAACUUAAAGGAAU